Molecule: long non-coding RNA, 1226 nt
Organism: Passer montanus (Eurasian tree sparrow)
Lineage: Eukaryota; Metazoa; Chordata; Aves; Passeriformes; Passeridae
Exons: 3
Source: RefSeq, a predicted model, not a curated record
CUCCUGCCCUCCUCACAGAGCAGUCCUGGGGUGCAGGCAGGAGAAUGUGGAGCUCCUGGAGUCUUGUUCAGGCUCAGGUGAACCAGCCAUGAAUGUCCCCAAACCAGCACCAAGCUGCCACUCUGGUCAUCCCAGGUCCCCAAGUAAUACUGAAAGGAUCUCCUGCUCAAGCAGCCAGACAGCAGCUUGUAAUAACAGAGGCACAAAACCAGCACAAGAGAUUUCCUGGUUUGACUAGGAUUUGUGUGCAGGAAAUCUCCUCCUGAGCCCGUGUGAGUGCAGAGGAACUUUGCAGCCCAGCAAAGCCCCAGCUCCCCUGCACGAGCAGGAUAAAGGAGCAGUCAGUGUGUCCCAGCCCUGUCCCACUGAAGGCUUCUGGGGGAGCACUCAGCCCCUCACUCUCUGCGAGCCCUGGCUGCCAUCCAGGGCAGCACCAACGUGGGACCAGCAUUCCCUGACUUGCACCCUCUGGAAGUUUGCUGGUUCUCUGCCUCCAUCUGAUGAGCUGGGUGUGGAGGAGGGGAGCUGUGGAUACUGCACUGCAAAGGGAAGCAAUUCCAGGAGGUGCCUGGGAGAGGCUGAGGAGUUUUCCAUGGCAUUUCCAAACCAGAGCGCUCUGGAGCUGUUCCUGAGUUUAUUAGCACUGAGCCCUCUUAAUUCCAAGAGGCUGCUCCAUGGCCACUCGGGAGAUAAGGGAAGAUUAAACAGAGGAGCAUAAGUGCUUGAAGAUGAAUCCUUAAUACCUGUGAUGAAAAGGAGGCUGGAUUAAGUGAGAGUUACACCUCUGUGAGCUUCAUUUCAGAGCAGGGAUAGCUGAUCUCACCCUCAGCUUCCCCCAGCUGCCACUGGAAAUCAGCUGGAGAAAAGUUCAAGCCAUUCUGGCAUUAAGCUAAAAUCUCUUCUGGAGGUUUACAUUUAAAAAAAAUAGUUGUGUAAGAGACUGAGUGGAAUAUUGAUCGAGACUCUCAGGAUCUGGUGGCAAAAGGAUUGUUUGAAGGGUGGCAUGACUUUUGUAAACACACAAGGGAUAAAAAUGAUGAAUGAUGAAUGCUCUGUCAAAGAAUUGCCUUUUUAAAAAGAAGAUACUCCUUCCUGUAGAAAGCCUCUUACAGAGAGCUAAAGAGAAGUGGUAAAGUGUGAGAAAUAGUCCUGGUUCUUUUACUGCACUCUGAAAAAUAAGGACAGAACUUGCUGAAAUAGACAGGAUCCUACUGUUGGUGGGAAGG